RNAcentral lists this ribosomal RNA (927 nucleotides) under uncultured Ascomycota. Its description in RNAcentral is "eukaryotic LSU rRNA". The stretch from base 290 to 927 matches the Rfam family "Eukaryotic large subunit ribosomal RNA", at positions 1 to 664 of the family's 3401-position model. Lineage: Eukaryota; Fungi; Ascomycota. The record is from RNAcentral.
AUCGAUGAAGAACGCAGCGAAAUGCGAUAAGUAAUGUGAAUUGCAGAAUCCAGUGAAUCAUCGAAUCUUUGAACGCACAUUGCGCCCGCCAGCAUUCUGGCGGGCAUGCCUGUUCGAGCGUCAUUUCAACCCUCGACCUCCCUUUGGGGAAGUCGGCGUUGGGGACCGGCAGCACACCGCCGGCCCUGAAAUGGAGUGGCGGCCCGUCCGCGGCGACCUCUGCGUAGUAAUCCAACUCGCACCGGAACCCCGACGCGGCCACGCCGUAAAACACCCAACUUCUGAACGUUGACCUCGAAUCAGGUAGGACUACCCGCUGAACUUAAGCAUAUCAAUAAGCGGAGGAAAAGAAACCAACAGGGAUUGCCCCAGUAACGGCGAGUGAAGCGGCAACAGCUCAAAUUUGAAAUCUGGCCCUCGGGUCCGAGUUGUAAUUUGUAGAGGAUGCUUUUGGCGAGGUGCCUUCCGAGUUCCCUGGAACGGGACGCCACAGAGGGUGAGAGCCCCGUAUGGUCGGACACCGAGCCUCUGUAAAGCUCCUUCGACGAGUCGAGUAGUUUGGGAAUGCUGCUCAAAAUGGGAGGUAUAUGUCUUCUAAAGCUAAAUAUUGGCCAGAGACCGAUAGCGCACAAGUAGAGUGAUCGAAAGAUGAAAAGCACUUUGAAAAGAGGGUUAAAAAGUACGUGAAAUUGUUGAAAGGGAAGCGCCUAUGACCAGACUUGGGCCCGGUGAAUCAUCCAGCGUUCUCGCUGGUGCACUUUGCCGGGCACAGGCCAGCAUCAGUUUGGCGCGGGGGAAAAAGGCUUCGGGAAUGUGGCUCCCUCGGGAGUGUUAUAGCCCGCUGCGUAAUACCCUGCGCCGGACUGAGGUACGCGCAUUGCAAGGAUGCUGGCGUAAUGGUCAUCAGCGACCCGUCUUGAAACACGG